UAGUUCUUCCCUUUGCCCAAUU
Molecule: microRNA, 22 nt
Filed under: Homo sapiens (human)
Lineage: Eukaryota; Metazoa; Chordata; Mammalia; Primates; Hominidae
Description: hsa-miR-5584-3p
Source: miRBase by way of RNAcentral